GUUCACUUCGGCAGCACAUAUACUAAAAUUGGGAAGAUACAGAGAAGAUUAUCAUGGCACAUGAACAAGGAUGACACACAAAACUCCAUGUGUAGAUGAUUUCA
RNAcentral lists this small nuclear RNA (104 nucleotides) under Zalophus californianus (California sea lion). Lineage: Eukaryota; Metazoa; Chordata; Mammalia; Carnivora; Otariidae. The record is from RNAcentral.